AGCGAACGCUGGCGGCAGGCCUAACACAUGCAAGUCGAACGAACCUUUCGGGGUUAGUGGCGGACGGGUGAGUAACACGUGGGAACGUGCCUUUAGGUUCGGAAUAACUCAGGGAAACUUGUGCUAAUACCGAAUGUGCCCUUCGGGGGAAAGAUUUAUCGCCUUUAGAGCGGCCCGCGUCUGAUUAGCCAGUUGGUUGAGGUAAUGGCUCACCAAGGCGACGAUCAGUAGCUGGUCUGAGAGGAUGAUCAGCCACAUUGGGACUGAGACACGGCCCAAACUCCUACGGGAGGCAGCAGUGGGGAAUCUUGCGCAAUGGGCGAAAGCCUGACGCAGCCAUGCCGCGUGAAUGAUGAAGGUCUUAGGAUUGUAAAAUUCUUUCAACGGGGACGAUAAUGACGGUACCCGGAGAAGAAGCCCCGGCUAACUUCGUG
Molecule: ribosomal RNA, 434 nt
Filed under: uncultured bacterium
Lineage: Bacteria
Description: partial 16S ribosomal RNA
Rfam family: Bacterial small subunit ribosomal RNA
Source: RNAcentral